GGCGGUGUAGCUCAGGUGGUCAGNNUGCGGCUCAUAUCCGCAGUGUCCGGGGUUCAAAUCCCUGCACCGCCACCA
This 75-nucleotide transfer RNA is filed under the name Desulfobacterales bacterium. RNAcentral's name for it is "tRNA-Met". It matches the Rfam family "tRNA". From Rfam's summary of the family: Transfer RNA (tRNA) molecules are approximately 80 nucleotides in length. Lineage: Bacteria; Pseudomonadati; Thermodesulfobacteriota; Desulfobacteria; Desulfobacterales. The record is from RNAcentral.